Molecule: long non-coding RNA, 246 nt
Filed under: Vigna radiata
Lineage: Eukaryota; Viridiplantae; Streptophyta; Magnoliopsida; Fabales; Fabaceae
Description: long non-coding RNA (VRAD_LNC018047)
Source: RNAcentral
AUGAUUUCUUCUCGUUGAUUUGAGGGUAAGGGUUUCGCGUUUUUGAAUUUUUUUUUUUUUUGCAGGUCAUGAGGGAGAAGACGAACAUGGUGAAGUCGCAGUGGUCUGAUGGAGCUCACAAUUUAGGGUCUCUUUCAUUCGCAAUCUCGGUUCGCAAAUUAGUUUUGUGACUUGGGGGUUUAACCUGCUUCUUUCUCUUUGCAAGUGUAUCGUGAUGGCUUUUUCGAAGGGGAAAGCAAAAUUCAU